Molecule: long non-coding RNA, 3166 nt
Filed under: Lactuca sativa (garden lettuce)
Lineage: Eukaryota; Viridiplantae; Streptophyta; Magnoliopsida; Asterales; Asteraceae
Description: long non-coding RNA (LSAT_LNC003582)
Source: RNAcentral
AGAGAAAUUAAAAAUUCAAAGUAUGAUGACUUAAUUUGAAAAAAUUGAAAGAAAAUGCAAUUUUGAAAUGUAUAUUGUCAUAAUAGGUAAAAAAAAAUUGAAAAUAAGAUACAAUUUUCAAAAUACCAUGCCUUAAAAGAAAGAAAAUGAAAAAAACGAAAGUAAGAUGCAAUUUUCAAAAUGUGUUUUCUUAAUAUGAAGAAAAUGAAAGAGAAAUACAAAUUUCAAAGUAUGAUGUGUUUUGAAAAUUUAAAGAAAUUGAAAGAGAAACAGGUAAACUUUUGAAAAUUUAAUGCAAUUUUAUAAUGUAUAAUAUCUUAAUUGGUUAAAAAAUGAAAAUUUUGAAAAUAAAAUAAAAUUAUUAAAGUAUGAUGACUUAAUAUGAAAAAAUUGGAAAAAAAAUGCAAUUUUUAAAAAAUGAUAUCUUAAUGUGAAAAAGUUUGAAAGAUUAAUGCAAAUUUGUAGUGUAUAAUAUCUUAAUAGGAAAAACAAAUUGAAAAUUUUGUAAAUAAGAUGCAAUUUUUAAAGUAUGAUGACUUAAUAUGAAAAAAAUGAAAGAAAAAUGCAAUUUUCCAAGUAUAAUGACUUAAUAGGAUAAAUUUUGAAAAGUUAACGCAAUUUUGUGAUGUAUAAUGUCUUCUUAAUAGGAAAAAAAAUGAAAAAUACUUAAAAUAAGAUGCAAGUUUUAAAGUACAAUAACUUAAUAUGAAAAAAAAUGAAACAAAAAUGCAAUUUUCAAUGCAUGAUGACUUAAAAUGAAAAAAUUGGAAGAAAAAUGCAAUUAUCAAAACAUGAUGUCUUAAUGUUAAAAGGUUUGAAAUUUUAAUGCANUAAAAGGCUUGAAAUUUUAAUGCAAAUUUGUAAUGUAUAAUGUCUUAAUAGGUAAAACAAAUUGAAAUAAGAUGCACUUUUUAAAGUAUGAUGACUUAAUUUGAAAAAAUUGAAAGAAAAUGCAAUUUUUUAAAAUAUCAUGCAAUUUUGAAAGUUUAAUGCAAUUUUAAAAUGUAUAAUGUCUUAAUAGGAAAAAAAAAUUGAAAAUAAGAUACAAUUUUCAAAAUACCAUGCCUUGAAAGAAAGAAAAUGAAAAAAAUGAAAGUAAGAUGCAAUUUUCAAAAUGUGUUUUCUUAAUAUAAAGAAAAUGAAAGAGAAGUACAAAUUUCAAAGUAUGAUGUUUUGAUAGAAAAAGUUUAUUUUAUGCAAUUUUCAAAAUAUCAUGCCUUAAAAGAAAAAAAAAUUGACAAAAACGAAAGUAAAAUGCAAGUUUCAAAAUGUGUUUUCUUUAAAUGAAGAAAUUGAAAUAGAAAUGCAGUCUUAAUAGAAAAAAGUUUAUUUUAUGCAAUUUUCAAAGUAUAAUGUCUUAAGUGGUAAAAGAUUGAAAGAAAAAUACAAUUUCCAAAAUAUGAUGUCUUAAUACAAAAAAGUUUAUUUUAUGCGAUUUUCAAAAUAUCAUGCAUUUAAAAGAGAAAAAAAUGUAAAAAAUGAAACCAAAAUGCAAUUUUCAGAAUAUGUUUUCUUAAUAUGAAUAAAUUGAAAAAAAAAAUGCAAUUUUCAAAAUAUGAUUUUUUAAUAGAAAAAGUUUAUUUUAUGCAAAUUUCAAAAAAUCAUGCCUUAAAAGAAAAAAAACGAAAGUAAAAUGCAUGUUUCAAAAUGUGUUUUCUUAAUAUGAAGAAAUUGAAAGAGAAAUGAAAAUUUCAAAAUAUGAUGUGUUUUGAAAAUUUAAAGAAAUUGAAAGAGAAACAGGUAAAAUUUUGAAAAUUUAAUGCAAUUUUGUAAUGUAUAAUAUCUUAGUUGGUUAAAAAAUGAAAAUUUUGAAAAUAAAAUAAAAUUAUUAAAGUAUGAUGAAUUAAUAUGAAAAAAUUGGAAAAAAAAUGCAAUUUUUAAAAAAUGAUAUCUUAAUGUGAAAAAGUUUGAAAGAUUAAUGCAAAUUUGUAGUGUAUAAUAUCUUAAUAGGAAAAACAAAUUGAAAAUUUUGUAAAUAAGAUGCAAUUUUUAAAGUAUGAUGACUUAAUAUGAAAAAAAUGAAAGAAAAAUGCAAUUUUCCAAGUAUAAUGACUUAAUAGGAUAAAUUUUGAAAAGUUAACACAAUUUUGUGAUGUAUAAUGUCUUCUUAAUAGGAAAAAAAAUGAAAAAUACUUAAAAUAAGAUGCAAGUUUUAAAGUACAAUAACUUAAUAUGAAAAAAAAUGAAACAAAAAUGCAAUUUUCAAUGCAUGAUGACUUAAAAUGAAAAAAUUGGAAGAAAAAUGCAAUUAUCAAAACAUGAUGUCUUAAUGUUAAAAGGUUUGAAAUUUUAGUCCAAAUUUGUAAUGUAUAAUGUCUUAAUAGGUAAAACAAAUUGAAAUUUUUUUUAAAAUAAGAUUCAAUUUUUAAAGUAUGAUGACUUAAUUUGAAAAAAUUGAAAGAAAAUGCAAUUUUUUAAAACAAGAUGCAAUUUUGAAAUGUAUAAUGUCAUAAUAGGUACAAAAAUUGAAAAUAAGAUACAAUUUUCAAAAUACCAUGCCUUAAAAGAAAGAAAAUGAAAAAAAUGAAAGUAAGAAGCAAUUUUCAAAAUGUGUUUUCUUAAUAUAAAGAAAAUGAAAGAGAAGUACAAAUUUCAAAGUAUGAUGUUUUGAUAGAAAAAGUUUAUUUUAUGCAAUUUUCAAAAUAUCAUGCCUUAAAAGAAAAAAAAAAUGAAAAAAACGAAAGUAAAAUGCAAGUUUCAAAAUGUGUUUUCUUAAUAUGAAGAAAUUGAAAUAGAAAUGCAGUCUUAAUAGAAAAAAGUUUAUUUUAUGCAAUUUUCAAAGUAUAAUGUCUUAAGUGGUAAAAGAUUGAAAGAAAAAUACAAUUUCCAAAAUAUGAUGUCUUAAUACAAAAAAGUUUAUUUUAUGCGAUUUUCAAAAUAUCAUGCAUUUAAAAGAGAAAAAAAUGUAAAAAAUGAAACCAAAAUGCAAUUUUCAGAAUAUGUUUUCUUAAUAUGAAUAAAUUGAAAAAAAAAAUGCAAUUUUCAAAAUAUGAUUUUUUAAUAGAAAAAGUUUAUUUUAUGCAAAUUUCAAAAAAUCAUGCCUUAAAAGAAAAAAAACGAAAGUAAAAUGCAUGUUUCAAAAUGUGUUUUCUUAAUAUGAAGAAAUUGAAAGAGAAAUAAAAAUUUCAAAGUAUGAUGUGUUUUGAAAAUUUAAAGAAAUUUAAAG